CGUUAAUAUCGAUUAUCAUUUUAAUAUAAUUUUAUUUUUCUCUUUUUUCAGUGCCUUCAUUAACACUUUAAUAAAAUAUAUAAAAAAAUUUCAAACAUCCGCUGUAAUUUAUCGAAUAUUUAUUUUAGUACCUUAUAACUUACAAAAUUUUUAUUUUAGUAUUAUGUGAUUUUAACUUUCUCAUCGAUUUAACAAAAAAAUUAACAGAAGAGAUAAUAAAAAAAGAAAAAUAAAAAUACAGAGUAUUAAAGUGAUACAGUUUAAACUACGGGGUACUAAAGUGAGAAAGAGUUAAACCACAUGGGUGGUAUUUGAAAUUUUUCCAAAUUUUAUAACCAGCGUCCCCAAACUAGAUAUCAAGUUUAGUCUAUUUUGGAGACAGAUGGGUGCAA
Molecule: long non-coding RNA, 392 nt
Filed under: Ananas comosus (pineapple)
Lineage: Eukaryota; Viridiplantae; Streptophyta; Magnoliopsida; Poales; Bromeliaceae
Description: long non-coding RNA (ACOM_LNC013351)
Source: RNAcentral